UAGGGAAUCUUCGGCAAUGGGGGCAACCCUGACCGAGCAACGCCGCGUGAGUGAAGAAGGUUUUCGGAUCGUAAAGCUCUGUUGUAAGAGAAGAACGUGUGUGAGAGUGGAAAGUUCACACAGUGACGGUAACUUACCAGAAAGGGACGGCUAACUACGUGCCAGCAGCCGCGGUAAUACGUAGGUCCCGAGCGUUGUCCGGAUUUAUUGGGCGUAAAGCGAGCGCAGGCGGUUUAAUAAGUCUGAAGUAAAGGCAGUGGCUUAACCAUUGUUCGCUUUGGAAACUGUUAAACUUGAGUGCAGAAGGGGAGAGUGGAAUUCCAUGUGUAGCGGUGAAAUGCGUAGAUAUAUGGAGGAACACCGGUGGCGAAAGCGGCUCUCUGGUCUGUAACUGACGCUGAGGCUCGAAAGCGUGGGGAGCAAACAGG
RNAcentral lists this ribosomal RNA (428 nucleotides) under bacterium. RNAcentral describes it as "partial 16S ribosomal RNA". It matches the Rfam family "Bacterial small subunit ribosomal RNA", at positions 355 to 776 of the family's 1533-position model. The record is from RNAcentral.